RNAcentral lists this ribosomal RNA (467 nucleotides) under uncultured bacterium. RNAcentral's name for it is "bacterial SSU rRNA". It matches the Rfam family "Bacterial small subunit ribosomal RNA", at positions 355 to 825 of the family's 1533-position model. The record is from RNAcentral.
UGGGGAAUCUUGGACAAUGGGCGCAAGCCUGAUCCAGCCAUGCCGCGUGCAGGAAGAAGGCGUUAUGCGUUGUAAACUGCUUUUUGCCAGGGGAUAAAAUGAGCGUGCGCGCUUAAUUGAAGGUACCUGGAGAAUAAGCCCCGGCAAACUUCGUGCCAGCAGCCGCGGUAAUACGAAGGGGGCUAGCGUUGUUCGGAAUUACUGGGCGUAAAGCGCACGUAGGCGGAUUGUUAAGUCAGAGGUGAAAUCCCGGAGCUCAACUUCGGAACUGCCUUUGAUACUGGCAAUCUAGAGUCCGGAAGAGGUUAGUGGAAUUCCCAGUGUAGAGGUGAAAUUCGUAGAUAUUGGGAAGAACACCAGUGGCGAAGGCGGCUAACUGGUCCGGUACUGACGCUGAGGUGCGAAAGCGUGGGGAGCAAACAGGAUUAGAUACCCAGGUAGUCCCUGAGCGGGCUGGCAAGGCGCAU